Long non-coding RNA from Macaca mulatta (Rhesus monkey), 1478 nucleotides. RefSeq lists it as uncharacterized. NCBI's taxonomy places the organism in Eukaryota, Metazoa, Chordata, Mammalia, Primates, Cercopithecidae. The record is from RefSeq and is a predicted model, not a curated record.
GAAAGCACUUGCUCUCGUGCAAGCUACACAAUGGAAGCAUUUACUUGUGUUUGUCUUGUGCUUCGGCUGAUUCGACUGCGGUGGACCUUCGUGCAUUCUUCCUCGUGCCGUGUGCUCCGGAGACCCUGUCUGCUGCUGAGUCUCUUCCAGGGCCCCACAGAUGCAGCCUUUCCAACGAGAUUGUGAGGAGCCAGCUACCAGCAGAUGCAUCCAGGAGACCUCCCAGCCUGUGAAGACUCAUUCUUCUUCUGAGGCCUCACGCCUUGAAUAGGAGACCAAAUAGGGCCAGCAUUUAUUUGUCUUGGGCCGCUCUGUUUGUGCAGGCUGUCUUCCCGCAGUAACCCGGAGCGUCGCUUAAGGAGCGUGGGGACAGGCGGCAAGCCGGCCGUGAGAAUGCUUUCGUUUGUGUGAAGGCCCCCACAGGCCCCGGCCGUGGAUUGCUUAUUUACGUUCAAGAAAUAAACAUUGAAGAAUGAAAAUCAAAACCAGCAGGAAUUUAGACAGAGACAUUCUGGGUGGUAAGGCAGAUUGUGUGAUGAUUUCACAAGCAGGAUUUCGGAGAGGAUUCUGUCCUCAUACUAAUAUGUUUGAGGGUGGAACAGUCCGUUUUCUCGCUGCCCUGCUGUUACCUGCAGUCCUUGGAUUCCAGGCCCCUGUUCUUCCUUGCUUUUGUUCUUACCUUGCCUCCGUUUAUUAAGGGCUUAUUGGAUGCGACGCUUUGCACUGAGAGCCUUCUGUGAAUCCCGAACAUUUGAGAUGGGUCUCAGUUAAUUUAGAAAGUUUAUUUUGCCAAGUUUGAGGACCCACGCCUGUGGCACAGCCUCAGGAAGUCCUGCUAACAUGGAGACUUCACAUUCCCAGGUCUCAUUUCCAGGGCCCACUGGCCAGAACUAUUCUUGGUCAGGGCGUAGGUUAGUUUUCUACAUUUUAGGGAGACACGAGACAUCAAUCCAUACACGUAAGAAGUACAUUGGUUCAGUCUGGGAAGGCGGGACAACUCGAAGCAAAGGCAGGAAGACUUCAAGCGAAGCGGAGGGGGCCUCCAGGUCACACGUAGGUGAGAGACUAAUGGUUGCAUUCUUUUGAGUUUCUGAUUAGCCUUUCCAACAGAGGCAAUCAGAUAUGCAUCUAUGUCAGCGAGCAGAGGGGUGACUUUGAAUAGAAUGGGAGCAGUUCCCAGCUUGAAGGGGCACAAGAUCUUAUCCUUUCACACUUCUAUGCUCUGCUCAUUUAAUUCUCACAGUUCAGUGCGGCAGGCACCAUUACUAAACCUAUGUUACAAAUGGGGAAACAUAUCUAAAGAAGUUCACAUCUUUCGCCAAGGUCACAGAGCAGUAAAUACAGACUCUGGAGUCCAGCAGCACCUCAACUUUUACUUUAAAGCCAAGCCAUUAACCGUUGGGCUUCACGACCUCCCUCAAAGAAAACUGCUGCCUGCCUUUCCUUUUAAAUAAAAACUUUGUUCUUUACAUUCUAAA